AAUCCAUGUUGAGGGCAGCAGUGAAUCAAAUCUUUGUACCUUUCCCACGCCUCAUAGCGUCAUUCGAAAUCACUUUGCUUGAUUUGACCAAUCUCACUCUUGAGUUU
Juglans microcarpa x Juglans regia is the source of this 107-nucleotide small nucleolar RNA. Lineage: Eukaryota; Viridiplantae; Streptophyta; Magnoliopsida; Fagales; Juglandaceae. The record is from RefSeq and is a predicted model, not a curated record.